GACGAACCGUGCGAACGUUGUUCGGAAUCACUGGGCUUAAAGGGCGCGUAGGCGGACACUCAAGUCGGUGGUGAAAUCCUCCGGCUCAACCGGAGAAGAGCUGUCGAUACUGGGUGUCUCGAGGGGUGUAGGGGCCUGUGGAACUUUGGGUGGAGCGGUGAAAUGCGUAGAGAUCCAAAGGAACGCCGGUGGCGAAAGCGACGGGCUGGACACCUUCUGACGCUGAGGCGCGAAAGCCAGGGGAGCAAACGGG
Molecule: ribosomal RNA, 253 nt
Filed under: uncultured bacterium
Lineage: Bacteria
Description: partial 16S ribosomal RNA
Rfam family: Bacterial small subunit ribosomal RNA
Source: RNAcentral